This is an RNA transcript of Magnolia sinica, 922 nucleotides long. It is a transcript of the gene named structural maintenance of chromosomes protein 2-1-like, with no coding region annotated. The record is from RefSeq and is a predicted model, not a curated record. The transcript is spliced from 5 exons. Lineage: Eukaryota; Viridiplantae; Streptophyta; Magnoliopsida; Magnoliales; Magnoliaceae.
AAUCAAUUGGUUUCUUUACAGACAUAGAUAAACAGCCUCACUGCAGAAGUAGAUAACCUUACAAGCAAGGUGCUUAAACUUACAAUCUAACCCUUUUUGCUGAACACAAAAUGCACGCGUCUUUAUUGCCUUUCCUAUUGCAGGUUAGUUCCAUAAAGAAGGAAUAUGAUGAAGCCCAAUCUGAGCUCAAUUUGAGUCAUUCAAAGAUGAAAGAAUGUGACGCUGAGAUCAGUGCCAUUGUCACGGAGCAAUAGAAGCUUCAACAUAAAAUUAGUGAUGCAAAUGUUGAGAGGAAAAAAUUGGAAAAUGAGAUUAAGUGAAUGGAGAUUGAACAGAAAGAUUUCUCCCUGAAGGUAGAUAAACUACUAGAAAGGCAUAGUUGGAUUGCAGCUGAGAAACAAUUAUUUGGAAAAAGUGGGACAGAUUAUGACUUCUCAUCUCGUGAUCAUCGUAAAUCAAGGGAGGAGCUUGAGAAACUUCAAGCUGAACAAUUUGGAAGAAGGUUAAUGGACAUGCAUCUCAGUUAAUCUGAUUAAUUGCUUUCAGCCUUGAGAAGAGGGUCAACAGAAAAGUUAUGGCAAUGUUCGAGAAAGCUGAAGAUGAAUACAAUGACUCAUUAUCCAAGAAAAACAUCAUUGAGAAUGAUAAGUCAAAAAUCAAGAAGGUGAUUGAAGAGCUUGAUGAAAAGAAGAAGGAAACACUAAAAGUUACUUGGGUUAAAGUGAACAAGCUGACAAGCUAAAGAAGUUAGUGGAGGAUGAAAUUCAUUUUCUCAAGGGAAGGGUUUCAGAACUUGAAAGUGAUCUUGUGUCGAAGUCCACAGAAGUUACAUCUGCAGUUUUCAGGAAAGAAGAAGCUUUAUCUUCUGCAUUUGUUGAAAUUGACCGUCUGAAGGAAGAAAAUUCUGUAAAAACGUGAGCAU